GACGAACGCUGGCGGCGUGCCUAACACAUGCAAGUCGAACGGGGUAAUUACUUCGGUGAUUACUUAGUGGCGAACGGGUGAGUAACGCGUGAGAAACCUGCCUUUCAGUGGGGGACAACAGUUGGAAACGACUGCUAAUACCGCAUAAUGUUAUCGAGCGGCAUCGCUUGAUAACCAAAGCUUAAUGUGCUGAAAGAUGGUCUCGCGUCUGAUUAGCUAGUUGGUGAGGUAACGGCUCACCAAGGCGACGAUCAGUAGCCGGUCUGAGAGGAUGACCGGCCACAUUGGGACUGAGAUACGGCCCAG
Molecule: ribosomal RNA, 306 nt
Filed under: uncultured bacterium
Lineage: Bacteria
Description: bacterial SSU rRNA
Rfam family: Bacterial small subunit ribosomal RNA
Source: RNAcentral